UGCAAGUCGAACGCAGUAGCAAUACUGAGUGGCAAACGGGUGAGUAUAAUGUGGGAAUCUGCCUUUUGGUUUGGAAUAACACGGGGAAACUUGUGCUAAUACCGAAUAAGCCCUUACGGGGAAAGUUUUAAUGCCGAAAGAUGAGCCCGCACUUGAUUAGCUAGUUGGUAAGGUAAAAGCUUACCAAGGCAAUGAUCAAUAGCUGUUCUUAGAGGAAGACCAGCCACAUUGGGACUGAGACACGGCCCAGACUCCUACGGGAGGCAGCAGUGGGGAAUCUUGCACAAUGGGGGAAACCCUGAUGCAGCGAUGCCGCGUGAGUGAAGAAGGCCUUUGGGUUGUAAAACUCUUUCGUCGGGGAAGAAAAUGACUGUACCCGAAUAAGAAGGUCCGGCUAACUUCGUGCCAGCAGCCGCGGUAAUACGAAGGGACCUAGCGUAGUUCGGAAUUACUGGGCUUAAAGAGCUCGUAGGUGGUUAAAAAAGUUGAUGGUGAAAUCCCAAGGCUCAACCUUGGAACUGCCAUCAUAACUUUUUAGCUAGAGUGUGAUAGAGGUAAGUGGAAUUUCUAGUGUAGAGGUGAAAUUCGUAGAUAUUAGAAAGAACACCAAAUGCGAAGGCAACUUACUGGGUCACUACUGACACUGAGGAGCGAAAGCAUGGGUAGCGAAGAGGAUUAGAUACCCUCGUAGUCCAUGCCGUAAACGAUGUGUGCUAGACGUUGGAAAUAUAUUUUUCAGUGUCGCAGCGAAAGCAUUAAGCACACCGCCUGGGGAGUACGACCGCAAGGUUAAAACUCAAAUGAAUUGACGGGGACCCGCACAAGCAGUGGAGCAUGUGGUUUAAUUCGAAGAUACGCGCAGAACCUUACCAACACUUGACAUGUUCGUCGCGAGCCUAAGAGAUUAGGCUUUUCAGUUUGGCUGGACGAAACACAGGUGCUGCAUGGCUGUCGUCAGCUCGUGUC
Molecule: ribosomal RNA, 966 nt
Filed under: uncultured marine bacterium
Lineage: Bacteria
Description: bacterial SSU rRNA
Rfam family: Bacterial small subunit ribosomal RNA
Source: RNAcentral